GAUGAACGCUGGCGGCGUGCCUAAUACAUGCAAGUCGAGCGAACGGACGAGAAGCUUGCUUCUCUGAUGUUAGCGGCGGACGGGUGAGUAACACGUGGAUAACCUACCUAUAAGACUUGGAUAACUUCGGGAAACCGGUGCUAAUACUGGAUAAUAUUUUCAACCGCAUGGUUCAAAGGUGAAAGACGGUUUUGCCGUCACUUAUAGAUGGAUCCGCGCUGCAUUAGCUAGUUGGUAAGGUAACGGCUUACCAAGGCAACGAUGCAUAGCCGACCUGAGAGGGUGAUCGGCCACACUGGAACUGAGACACGGUCCAGACUCCUACGGGAGGCAGCAGUAGGGAAUCUUCCGCAAUGGGCGAAAGCCUGACGGAGCAACGCCGCGUGAGUGAUGAAGGUCUUCGGAUCGUAAAACUCUGUUAUUAGGGAAGAACAUAUGUAUAAGUAACUGUGCACAUCGUGACGGUACCUAAUCAGAAAGCCACGGCUAACUACGUG
This 497-nucleotide ribosomal RNA is filed under the name uncultured bacterium. Its description in RNAcentral is "partial 16S ribosomal RNA". It matches the Rfam family "Bacterial small subunit ribosomal RNA", at positions 28 to 507 of the family's 1533-position model. The record is from RNAcentral.